RNAcentral lists this ribosomal RNA (484 nucleotides) under uncultured bacterium. RNAcentral's name for it is "partial 16S ribosomal RNA". It matches the Rfam family "Bacterial small subunit ribosomal RNA", at positions 28 to 507 of the family's 1533-position model. The record is from RNAcentral.
AUUGAACGCUGGCGGCAUGCUUUACGCAUGCAAGUCGAACGGCAGCGCGGGCUUCGGCCUGGCGGCGAGUGGCGAACGGGUGAGUAAUGCAUCGGAACGUGCCCAGUAGUGGGGGAUAGCCCGGCGAAAGCCGGAUUAAUACCGCAUACGACCUGAGGGUGAAAGCGGGGGACCGAAAGGCCUCGCGCUAUUGGAGCGGCCGAUGUCGGAUUAGCUAGUUGGUGGGGUAAAGGCUUACCAAGGCGACGAUCCGUAGCUGGUCUGAGAGGACGACCAGCCACACUGGGACUGAGACACGGCCCAGACUCCUACGGGAGGCAGCAGUGGGGAAUUUUGGACAAAGGGGGCAACCCUGAUCCAGCCAUGCCGCGUGCGGGAAGAAGGCCUUCGGGUUGUAAACCGCUUUUGUUCGGGAAGAAAUCCUCUGGGCUAAUACCCCGGGGGGAUGACGGUACCGGAAGAAUAAGCACCGGCUAACUACGUG